This 253-nucleotide ribosomal RNA is filed under the name uncultured bacterium. RNAcentral describes it as "partial 16S ribosomal RNA". It matches the Rfam family "Bacterial small subunit ribosomal RNA", at positions 524 to 776 of the family's 1533-position model. The record is from RNAcentral.
UACGAAGGGGGCUAGCGUUGUUCGGAAUUACUGGGCGUAAAGCGCACGUAGGCGGAUAUUUAAGUCAGGGGUGAAAUCCUGGAGCUCAACUCCAGAACUGCCUUUGAUACUGGCGAUCUCGAGUCCGGGAGAGGUGAGUGGAACUGCGAGUGUAGAGGUGAAAUUCGUAGAUAUUCGCAAGAACACCAGUGGCGAAGGCGGCUCACUGGCCCGGUACUGACGCUGAGGUGCGAAAGCGUGGGGAGCAAACAGG